UGUAAUGAUGGCAUUCUGGUUCAUGGGGU
This 29-nucleotide non-coding RNA is filed under the name Mus musculus (house mouse). The record is from RNAcentral. Lineage: Eukaryota; Metazoa; Chordata; Mammalia; Rodentia; Muridae.